GGUUGGCUGGAAUGAUGAAUCAAUUAGAUGUGUGAAGUCGCCUUAUGAGCUUAACUUUUGAGGCAUAUAAUUUGUCUGACUGGCCAAUC
RNAcentral lists this small nucleolar RNA (89 nucleotides) under Sorghum bicolor (sorghum). RNAcentral describes it as "snoRNA snoZ266". It matches the Rfam family "Small nucleolar RNA Z266". From Rfam's summary of the family: Z266 is a member of the C/D class of snoRNA which contain the C (UGAUGA) and D (CUGA) box motifs. Most of the members of the box C/D family function in directing site-specific 2'-O-methylation of substrate RNAs. Lineage: Eukaryota; Viridiplantae; Streptophyta; Magnoliopsida; Poales; Poaceae. The record is from Rfam by way of RNAcentral.